UGGCACCCAAACGUGGGGCCUGGAAACGAGGGACUCCGUGAGGAAGAGGACGCGAAAGACCGGUCGACCGUUAUCAAAGACAAAAGAAGUUAAACUCCUCCGAUCACCACGGGAACCUGCCGCGUCAGAAUCGAAGGUAAGUGACGCGUCCGAAAUGGGACAAGAAUUAAGUCAACAUCAAAUCUAUGUAGGACAAUUAAAAGAGGCUUUAAAGAUACGAGGAGUAAAGGUUAAAAGUAAUGAUUUGUUUAAAUUUUUUGAUUUUGUAAAAGACACUUACCCUU
Macaca mulatta (Rhesus monkey) is the source of this 284-nucleotide non-coding RNA. The record is from Rfam. NCBI's taxonomy places the organism in Eukaryota, Metazoa, Chordata, Mammalia, Primates, Cercopithecidae.